Molecule: ribosomal RNA, 253 nt
Filed under: uncultured bacterium
Lineage: Bacteria
Description: partial 16S ribosomal RNA
Rfam family: Bacterial small subunit ribosomal RNA
Source: RNAcentral
UACGGAGGGUGCAAGCGUUAAUCGGAAUCACUGGGCGUAAAGCGCACGCAGGCGGUUUGUUAAGCCAGAUGUGAAAUCCCCAGGCUCAACCUGGGAACUGCAUUUGAUACUGGCAAGCUUGAGUCUCGUAGAGGUGGGUAGAAUUCCAGGUGUAGCGGUGAAAUGCGUAGAGAUCUGGAGGAAUACCGGUGGCGAAGGCGGCCCCCUGGACGUAGUCUGACGCUCAGGUACGAAAGCGUGGGGAGCAAACAGG